UUGCAUAUUAGGCGGCAAAUGAUAUUCAUGGGCCAAGGGCAGCUUCGGGAAGAGCGACAAAGUGAGCUGCCGGACUAAUAUUCGUUGAAAGUGCGAAGACCAACAGAGAAAGGUACCCACGGGGCAAAGGAUUAAGAGUCAAAGAGAGGAGAGCCGAGGGGCCGGGCAGUCAGGGAAGCUGGGCGUGGGAGGCCUGGGCAGAGGCCGCAAAGCGCGUCUGCAGCCAGCCGCCUUCUCUCGGAACGCCUUUUCAGCUCCCCCACACUCAGCCCCUCUCAGGGCCGCCCUUGCCCCAGCGACAACGGCGAGAGCAGCUGUUUCCGCCCGGCCGGGGACCAAGGAGAAGGCAUCCCUGAGGCGGGCGGGCAGGCCAACAUCUGAGUGAGCAAGAGGUGAUUCCGAGACCACUGCCGCCGAACCAACGCCAAACUUCUCCCUUUCCUCGUCUUAGCCUUCUUUAUCACCCAACUUCCCAGCCGGCUGGUGUCCGCUUCGACCGACCGAGACCCCCUCCCCCGCCCUUCUCGCCACCUCUCACCCCUCCCCAACGUCCUGAAGCUGGGAAAGGACCUGCUACCAGGGCCACUCCCGAGCCCGUCCGGGUGCCCCAGAGUCCCAGACACCGCCCCCGACAAAACGCUUGCGUCCUCUCGGCGGCUCCCUCGCCCGCCCAGAUGCUGCAAACUCCUCUCACCUGCAUUGACGCCAUGAUGGAACCAUCCCCCCAAGGCCGGCGAGGCCAGAGACGCAGGGGGCGGAGUUGCCGUGCUCGCGUCACGCCGCGGGGGCCCAGCAUCCUGGGCGCCGGGGGCGGGGCCUCCGGUGGGAAGGGGACGGCGGGAGGGGAUUGGCUGGCGCGCUGAGCCUCCGGGGGGGGGGGGGGGGGGGGGGGGAGGGGCAGGCGAGAACGCGGUAAAUGGCGUUGUUGGUACCUUCAGUCACAUCGUGCUCUCGGGCGUCCGCGGUUGCCCCACCCGCUACUCCUGUCGCCCAAGAAACGCCGCUUCUGGUCUGACCUGGCCACGAAUUCCAUCCUAUUGCCAGAAAUGGGCUGGUUUUCCCUUUGUUGUGCAAAAGGAUGGUGUCCUUGAGGAAUGUUUGGAGGCUCUUAGCAACCAGGAAUCAUCUGGAAGCGUAUCUGGUGUCAGCUCAGUUGUGUUGUUAACAUUUCAACUGGAGGUACCUGAUCUUCAGAAGUUCAUCCAUUACCAGAAGUGUAUAAACCUCAAGAUAAGAAUACCUUUACUGAAGAGUGAUCUCUAUGCUCAUGAGGCUGAAACUCAUGACUCCAAGAUCAAGAGUCACGUGCUCUAUGGACUGAGCCAACAAGCCAGCUAUCACCUCCCCAGUAAAGCUAUUUUUAAAAAGGGAAAAGCAUUUCAAGAUUUUAACACACUGAUACC
This is a long non-coding RNA of Lutra lutra (Eurasian river otter), 1403 nucleotides long. RefSeq lists it as uncharacterized. NCBI's taxonomy places the organism in Eukaryota, Metazoa, Chordata, Mammalia, Carnivora, Mustelidae. The transcript is spliced from 4 exons. The record is from RefSeq and is a predicted model, not a curated record.